This 236-nucleotide ribosomal RNA is filed under the name uncultured bacterium. Its description in RNAcentral is "partial 16S ribosomal RNA". It matches the Rfam family "Bacterial small subunit ribosomal RNA", at positions 118 to 350 of the family's 1533-position model. The record is from RNAcentral.
UGGGCAACCUGCCCCUCUCUCUGGGAUAACCCCGGGGAAAACCGGAGCUAAUACCGGAUACUCCGGCUGGAUCGCAUGGUCCGGCCGGGAAAGGUCCGCCGGAGAGGGAUGGGCCCGCGGCCUAUCAGCUUGUUGGUGGGGUCAUGGCUCACCAAGGCGACGACGGGUAGCUGGUCUGAGAGGACGACCAGCCACACUGGAACUGAGAUACGGUCCAGACCUCCGUACGGGAGGCA